UAGCACUUAGGGGUCAUCUUGUUUCAUACCUUCGGGCUAGAAAAAUGAUAGCUAAGGGACGUGUUUACCAUCUCGUUUGAGUCCAAGACUCCAUUUCAGAAACCCGUACUUUUGAAUCAGUACAGUAGCUUGUGAAUUCCCAUAUAUGUUUCUCAAAGAUCUUUCUAGAGUUCCUCCUAAAAGGGAAAUUGAUUUUGGAAUUGAUAUUUCCCUAGAUACUCAGCC
This 225-nucleotide long non-coding RNA is filed under the name Capsicum annuum. Its description in RNAcentral is "long non-coding RNA (CANN_LNC011850)". Lineage: Eukaryota; Viridiplantae; Streptophyta; Magnoliopsida; Solanales; Solanaceae. The record is from RNAcentral.